CCUACGGGGCGCUGCAGUGGGGAAUAUUGGACAAUGGGCGAAAGCCUGAUCCAGCCAUGCCGCGUGUGUGAAGAAGGCCUUCGGGUUGUAAAGCACUUUCAGUGGGGAAGAAAGCCUUGGGGCUAAUACCCUCGAGGAAGGACAUCACCCACAGAAGAAGCACCGGCUAACUCCGUGCCAGCAGCCGCGGUAAUACGGAGGGUGCGAGCGUUAAUCGGAAUUACUGGGCGUAAAGCGCGCGUAGGCGGUCUGAUAAGCCGGUUGUGAAAGCCCCGGGCUCAACCUGGGAACGGCAUCCGGAACUGUCAGGCUAGAGUGCAGGAGAGGAAGGUAGAAUUCCCGGUGUAGCGGUGAAAUGCGUAGAGAUCGGGAGGAAUACCAGUGGCGAAGGCAGCCUUCUGGACUGACACUGACGCUGAGGUGCGAAAGCGUGGGUAGCAAACAGGAUUAGAUACCCCAGUAGUC
RNAcentral lists this ribosomal RNA (465 nucleotides) under Vreelandella stevensii. RNAcentral's name for it is "partial 16S ribosomal RNA". It matches the Rfam family "Bacterial small subunit ribosomal RNA", at positions 338 to 795 of the family's 1533-position model. Lineage: Bacteria; Pseudomonadati; Pseudomonadota; Gammaproteobacteria; Oceanospirillales; Halomonadaceae. The record is from RNAcentral.